Molecule: ribosomal RNA, 774 nt
Filed under: uncultured Neocallimastigales
Lineage: Eukaryota; Fungi; Neocallimastigomycota; Neocallimastigomycetes; Neocallimastigales
Description: partial large subunit ribosomal RNA
Rfam family: Eukaryotic large subunit ribosomal RNA
Source: RNAcentral
AGAGAGAGACAUGCGCGCAUAUCAAUAAGCGGAGGAAAAGAAACUAACAAGGAUUCCCUUAGUAACGGCGAGUGAAGCGGGAAGAGCUCAAAUUUGAGAUCUUCAAGGUUUUACCUUGACGAAUUGUAGUUUAAAGAAGUGUUUUCUGCUGAAGUUUUGGUAAAAGUUCUUUGGAAUAGGACAUCAUAGAGGGUGAGAAUCCCGUAUUUGACCAUUAUUUUCAGCUUUGUGAUACACUUUCAAAGAGUCGGAUUGUUUGGGAAUGCAGUCCAAAAUGGGUGGUAAAUUUCAUCUAAAGCUAAAUAUUGGCGAGAGACCGAUAGCGAACAAGUACCGUGAGGGAAAGAUGAAAAGAACUUUGAAAAGAGAGUUAAACAGUACGUGAAAUUGUCAAAAGGGAAGCGUUUGACACCAGUGUUGUUUUCUCGAAAAUCAAUUAAAAAAGGCAGGAUUUUGUGUUGUAUUGACUUUAUCAGCUUUCUGCACUCUUUUCUUGUCUUUUUUAAUGCACUUUUCGUUUAACAAGUCAACAUCAAUUUCUUUUGUUGUAAAAGGGUCAUUGGAAGGUGGCUUUCUUUUCGGAGAAAGUGUUUAUAGCCUUUGGCCUCUGCAAUCGAAGAGACUGAGGUCUGCAGCGUAGACUCUUCGGGGUUAGAUACAUUUGUGCUAAGUUAUAGCUUUUUAUAGACAACUUGUUGACUAUAAUUAGUCUUGUAGCUUACUCGCUUAUGCUAUUUUACCUACGCUUAGGAUGUUGAGUCGUAGAGCACGCAG